Molecule: transfer RNA, 74 nt
Filed under: Cyrtodactylus taungwineensis
Lineage: Eukaryota; Metazoa; Chordata; Lepidosauria; Squamata; Gekkonidae
Description: Cyrtodactylus sp. PLW-2019c tRNA-Asn
Source: RNAcentral
UAGGCUGAAGCCCGCUGGAUUGGGUUUUUAGUUGUUAAUUAAAGUUUUAUGGGAUCGAAGCCCGUCGGCCUAGG